UCAGAGGUCCUGGAUUCAAUUUAAGUUC
RNAcentral lists this non-coding RNA (28 nucleotides) under Mus musculus (house mouse). Lineage: Eukaryota; Metazoa; Chordata; Mammalia; Rodentia; Muridae. The record is from RNAcentral.